Molecule: ribosomal RNA, 440 nt
Filed under: uncultured bacterium
Lineage: Bacteria
Description: partial 16S ribosomal RNA
Rfam family: Bacterial small subunit ribosomal RNA
Source: RNAcentral
CCUACGGGAGACAGCAGUGGGGGAUAUUGCACAAUGGGGGAAACCCUGAUGCAGCGACGCCGCGUGUGGGAAGACGGUCUUCUGGAUUGUAAACCACUGUCCCCAGGGACGAAAAUGACGGUACCUGGGGAGGAAGCUCCGGCUAACAACGUGCCAGCAGCCGCGGUAAUACGUAGGGGGCAAGCAUUGUCCGGAAUUACUGGGGGUAAAGGGAGAGUGGGCGGGGAUGCAAGUUGGGUGUCAAACCUACCGGCUCAACCGAUAGUCGCACUCAAAACUGCAGCUCUUGAGUGAAGUAGAGGCAGGCGGAAUUCCUAGUGUAGCGGUGAAAUGCGUAGAUAUUAGGAGGAACACCAGUGGCGAAGGCGGUCUGCUGGACUUUUACUGACGCUGAGGCUCGAAAGUGUGGGGAGCAAAAAGGAUUAGAUACCCCAGUAGUC